AGAGUUUGAUCCUGGCUCAGGAUGAACGCUAGCUACAGGCUUAACACAUGCAAGUCGAGGGGCAGCAUGGUCUUAGCUUGCUAAGACUGAUGGCGACCGGCGCACGGGUGAGUAACACGUAUCCAACCUGCCGUNUACUCUUGGACAGCCUUCUGAAAGGAAGAUUAAUACAAGAUGGCAUCAUGAGUCCGCAUGUUCACAUGAUUAAAGGUAUUCCGGUAGACGAGUGGGGAUGCGUUCCAUUAGAUAGUAGGCGGGGUAACGGCCCACCUAGUCUUCGAUGGAUAGGGGUUCUGAGAGGAAGGUCCCCCACAUUGGAACUGAGACACGGUCCAAACUCCUACGGGAGGCAGCA
RNAcentral lists this ribosomal RNA (355 nucleotides) under uncultured bacterium. Its description in RNAcentral is "bacterial SSU rRNA". It matches the Rfam family "Bacterial small subunit ribosomal RNA", at positions 8 to 353 of the family's 1533-position model. The record is from RNAcentral.